AGAGUUUGAUCAUGGCUCAGAACGAACGCUGGCGGCAGGCCUAACACAUGCAAGUCGAGCGCCCGCAAGGGAGCGGCAGACGGGUGAGUAACGCGUGGGAACGUGCCCUUUGGUUCGGAAUAUUCCCGGGAAACUGGGAGCAAAACCGGAUAAGCCCUUCGGGGGAAAGAUUUAUCGCCUUUAGAGCGGCCCGCGUUAGAUUAGGUAGUUGGUGGGGUAACGGCCUACCAAGCCUACGAUCUAUAGCUGAUCUGAGAGGAUGAUCAGCCACACUGGGACUGAGACACGGCCCAGACUCCUACGGGAGGCAGCAGUGGGGAAUCUUGGACAAUGGGCGCAAGCCUGAUCCAGCCAUGCCGCGUGGAUGACUGAAGGCCCUAGGGUUGUAAAGUCCUUUCGACGGGGACGAUAAUGACGGUACCCGUAGAAGAAGCCUCGGCUAACUUCGUGCCAGCAGCCGCGGUAAUACGAAGGGGGCUAGCGUUGUUCGGAUUUACUGGGCGUAAAGGGCGCGUAGGCGGAUUUUUAAGUCGGGGGUGAAAUCCCGGAGCUCAACUCCGGAACUGCCUUCGAUACUGGAAGUCUGGAGCACGGUAGAGGUGAGUGGAAUUCCGAGUGUAGAGGUGAAAUUCGUAGAUAUUCGGAGGAACACCAGUGGCGAAGGCGGCUCACUGGACCGUUGCUGACGCUGAGGCGCGAAAGCGUGGGGAGCAAACAGGAUUAGAUACCCCGGUAGUCC
RNAcentral lists this ribosomal RNA (739 nucleotides) under uncultured bacterium. Its description in RNAcentral is "bacterial SSU rRNA". It matches the Rfam family "Bacterial small subunit ribosomal RNA", at positions 8 to 796 of the family's 1533-position model. The record is from RNAcentral.